This 74-nucleotide transfer RNA is filed under the name Mediterraneibacter torques. Its description in RNAcentral is "[Ruminococcus] torques tRNA-Gly". It matches the Rfam family "tRNA". Rfam says of the family: Transfer RNA (tRNA) molecules are approximately 80 nucleotides in length. Their secondary structure includes four short double-helical elements and three loops (D, anti-codon, and T loops). Lineage: Bacteria; Bacillati; Bacillota; Clostridia; Lachnospirales; Lachnospiraceae. The record is from RNAcentral. RNAcentral also lists the same sequence under 4 other names.
GCGACAGUGGCUCAGCUGGUAGAGUACGACCUUGCCAAGGUCGGGGUCGCGGGUUCGAACCCCGUCUGUCGCUC